This 275-nucleotide ribosomal RNA is filed under the name uncultured bacterium. RNAcentral's name for it is "partial 16S ribosomal RNA". It matches the Rfam family "Bacterial small subunit ribosomal RNA", at positions 338 to 605 of the family's 1533-position model. The record is from RNAcentral.
CCUACGGGAGGCAGCAGUGGGGAAUAUUGGACAAUGGGCGCAAGCCUGAUCCAGCCAUGCCGCGUGAGUGAAGAAGGCCUUCGGGUUGUAAAGCUCUUUUGUUGGGGAAGAAAAGCACUUGAUUAAUACUCGGGUGUUCUGACGGUACCCAAAGAAUAAGCACCGGCUAACUUCGUGCCAGCAGCCGCGGUAAUACGAAGGGUGCAAGCGUUACUCGGAAUUACUGGGCGUAAAGCGUGCGUAGGUGGUUCGUUAAGUCUGAUGUGAAAGCCCUG